GCUCAAGUUGUUCAAUCCUCCCUCCAGGAGUAUUGGAGCCACUGCACAUGACGUUUGGCACCCUGCUCUCGCUCUGCUCUCGCUCACAUGUGAGGUGAUCACCCCCAGACAGGGCCGUGUGCUUGUGGUCUGAUCCCAGUACAUCCAAUACAACCACCUCUGACCUUACUGUCAUCUCUUCACUGUAUUGAUGUGGGAUGUGCUUAGUGACCAACCUAAUCGCACAGUAUUCGACUGACCAGUACUUCUAAGUCUCCUUGGAUAACAAUGAUGUCUUCUUUGGAUGGCAGGAAGCACUCGACAGUCUCUGUGCAAAGCAUAGAACGAGACAAAUCAGCGAUAGGAGCAGGAGACCUUCUUCUGGAUGUGAGUAGAAAAGAGGGCACUCGACAGAUUGAACCCCACACAUCGUUUUGUUGCGUUCCUUCAAGAGGAUAGCCACCGCUGUGCUUAGUCCUGGGAACUGUCGCUCUCCCUUCUUCAGCUUGUUCCUCUUGGACGAGUGGGUGAUAGCACAAUCAAUAAUGUGGUGGAGAGUUGGUGCUUUGGUCUCAAGCUCAGUGACUGUUUGUCUCCAGGAAAAGCUUUCUGCUUGCUCAAUGGUCAUGGACCGGAACAGUGACACAGGUUGUGAACUCUUGCUGCACAACGAGGCACACUCAUCAUCUACUAUUCUCGAGAUACGAGACACAGCUUCGUCCCUGAGCUGAGGGUAUGAGAAAACAGCCCUACAAAUUGACUGCAGGUUCCCCCCUGUCAGUGCCUUUGCAAUCUUCUCAAGCUCUGGACGAAUGGAUACUGUACAUAUCGCCCUCUUGCUUGAUAUACCAUUGGGUUGCUGAGUAUUGGCAGUCUGGCGAGAACUCUCAACACGAGUAGCUGGAGGAACGUUGCUCAUGUCUCUCAAAGACGCACCACUCCGAUCAGUCACUAUGAUGAUCGAAAUCACUAUGUUUUAUCUUACUCUCGUCCUGGACACGGAAACAGAGCCUCCUACCAGACGCUCCAACAGUCUGCUGCUUUGCUGUUGGUCUGACUUGUUGUGUGUGUGGAGAUACUCCAACCCCACUAGUGUCCUUGGAUCUCUUUCUUGAAGCGUCUUGAAGCGUGAGUGCUCUUGGGGCUGCCGGUGACGCCUGUGAGAGGCCUGGGUAGAGAUGUCCUAUUCUUCUCAUAGCUAGCCUUGGCUAGAACUCUAAAAGACUCAGCUGAUACAAACUUCCUGUUACAAGGCCUGCAAAUGUGCUGUGAAAGACCAUCAUUUGCAAUGACUGGCACAUCUAUGACCCUGCUGAUCUGCAAGACCUGAGUCUGAGGCUAUACAUUCUCUGGAGAAUAAUGAUAUGCUUUGUUUAGUCAAAGAAGUGCUGCAAAUCCUGCACAGUGCGGUUUCUCUGGUAGCCAUAGCUGGGAAGUCUAUUUAACCACGAUUUCGUAGGAACCAUGCGGUAUAACGUAUUCUUAUUUUGUGUAUUUUCCGUUUUAUAUCUUGUUAAAUAAGAUGCACUACGG
Halichondria panicea is the source of this 1512-nucleotide long non-coding RNA. RefSeq lists it as uncharacterized. The record is from RefSeq and is a predicted model, not a curated record. NCBI's taxonomy places the organism in Eukaryota, Metazoa, Porifera, Demospongiae, Suberitida, Halichondriidae. The transcript has 4 exons.